UGACAGUUUGUUGACGGCUCUGCAGAAUUUGGACUCGUGCAUACCCCAGUUGCGGAUGUUGUGAGAUUAAAGGAAAGGACCUCACCAGUUGCCUGGCACAUCAAAAAUGCUCAGUAAACGGUAGCCAUUAUCGCAAGAGGCUGCCAACCCACAAAUCUAAAGCUUCCUGCUUAGCCUGAGUUCCAGACCCAUUGAUUCAACUGCUUCCCAGACAACACAUUUGGAUGCUCCACAGGCUCUCCAAGGACAAAGAAAAGAACCAAAGCCUUAGGACAUUGUCUCCAGUCCUAUCAACCCAGAGGUCUCCUGCCAGCCUCUUUCCAGUGGAAACAGCUCUGCUCACUGUUCCCAGUUAAUGAAUGAGGAAACGGAAGCUUGGGAGGUGAAGCCACAUAGACCAGGUUUUCCAGCUGGUAAGUAACGCAGCCAGAAUUCAAACCCCAGUCUCUUAUGACCAAAGGAUAUUGGAUUUUUCACAUGAAGUCCAUCUUAACUCCCACGAAGCAGACGAUUUUGGUGCCCCGCGUUGAGACUCCUUGACCCACAUCCAAUUUCAGACACAGCUGUGGUGGACAGUGGUGGUGGCAACCAAUCUCAGGAGAGAUUUUUGUGUAUUUUGCUUUCUGGGCACAGUCCAGAGUAGAGAGUGGGUGUGCGGGGGGUGGGUGGGGGGACCGGGGAGGAGGCAGCAGUCAACAUCCCUGGGACAGCCCUCUGUCAGUGGGUCAGGGUACCAACCUCCUGCUCGCCAAGGGGGAAAUUCUGGAGAGCAUUGUGGACCCAUCUCAGGUGGCCGCACAGCACCCAGACCCCACAGCCUCCCCUGGCCUCCCCGUCAUGUAGCUUUUCCACUUCCUGUCUUGUCCUUUCCAUUCCCUCACUGCUGCUUCCAGGACCACCUCCAAAAUAAACUGCUGCAUCCCAGUCCCUCUCUCAGGUGUUGUGUCCUGGGGACCCCAAACAACGACACCCAGCAUUCUUUGACAGAUGGAGCCCAAGAGAGCAUACAGGAUUGGAGGUGUGGGCAGAGGGCAGAGGGUUUUGGAGGAAUGAAGGAGGGAGAAGAGGAAAACUAAGCUGCAUGGAAUACCUAUGCUAGCUCAAGGACAAUUACACAUCAGCUCAUUUAGUUCUCAAAAGGCUUGUAGGAUAAAUUUAAUAUCCUGUUUUACAGGGGAGGAAACCAAGGCUCAGAGAGCUUGAAAGUCUUAUCGUAGUAACUCAUCUAAUGGCUCAAAGGGAGACUUGUCUUACAGUGUGUUCUUUCCUCCACACUGUAUCAUCCAGUGAUUCUGCACGUACCUCUAAUCCACACUGGCUCCAUUCUGCAUGGUAUGCUGAUGAGUUUUCUCCCCCAGAGCCUGAGUUUGUAGAAGGCAGCUGUGGGGAUUUAUCUGCGUCUGUCCCCCACAGUCUGAGCACAGUGAUAAUAUUUGAAUAGUUUAGAAUAAACACCACCAAACAUCUGAGGUCUUUGACUUGUCCCACAUCUAAGGAUGAGGACAAAUUAUUUCCCAAACAUUUGUACAACUUAUUUGCUUUUGCUUACUUUCUUUUAAAAAAAAAAUUUAUCUCCUAAAGACAUAUGUAAUGCUUCCUUUGUUUAAUUUCUUGCCUCAUUAUACAAAACCCAGAUAGGGGACAAGGCAGGCCCGAGAACACAGCAGCGUACAUGCACCCUCCACGGACCCCUGUGUGGGUGGAACAAAGGUUUCUCUGACUUUCUUCUGCAGCCAUCACUCCUUGGUGCUGACAAGCAGCUGCAGCCCUGGAGGGAAGGAAAGCAGUGGAAAUAAGGUAGAGGGAGAAGUGGUGGUCAUUUAGGUCCCACAGCCUCCCUUCUCGUGAAGCUACAAAAUGGGGAAAAGUAAGUUUAGAUUAGACUUUUGUUUCAUAUAAAGGGCUUGUGGGCAGAAUAAAUCUAUCUUCCCCACCUCCAAUCAAUCCCACCUCCUUUGUGGUGGAAAGUCCCCAACUGGCCCAACAGAAGGGGAUAUAUCAUCUACGGCAUAGAGCACAGUAGUUUAGGGUCCUGAUCCUGAGAUCAGCUAUGGGCCAGGACAGGAGGCAGAGGCUGGGUUUGGGGCCAGCUCUACCAUGUCCUGGCAGGGCACCCUUCAACAAGGGACUUCAACCCGCAGACAUCCAGUUGUCCCAUCUGGAAAAGGGGCUCAGUGAAGGCACUUCACUCUUACUCGAUUUCAUGGAGCUGAAGAUCGUUUCCCUUUUUGGUUGAUUUUCGUUUGUUUGUUUGUUUUGUUUGUUUGUUUCUUUUUGGCAUUACCAUCUCCAAACUAGGAUGCAUCUUGUAAUCCCUGGAAUCUCAGAUUGUUUAAAACGUAGCACUGAAGGAAUAAUCCAUUCCCAGGACAAAUGGGUAAAGCUGGUGAUACUUUACUCCAAAAAUUCAGAAAGUGUUUUAUGCCUCACAUGAUGACAUUUCCUAGAAGUCUGUUGGCCUCCUGGGAGCACAGGAAGCCUAGGCUUUGUGGGGGAGUCACAGGGUCAGAUUCGUGGGUUGAAUUCAGGGCCAGAUCUAGGCUGAGGUGAGCAGGGCUCCCAGGGUGCACGAUUUAAGGAGGCCUGAACGUGGUUGUUGUAGGGCCCUUCUCAGUUCCCCCAGCUGGGGGUUUGGGGCAACUCACUGCAUUCCACAGGGCCUCAGUUCCCUGAAUUGUAAAAUGGGGGGUGGGAGGUGGGUCAAUAUAACACCAGAGGUCUCUUCUUUAGCAAUCUGUUGUUGUGAUUCUACAUCUGACUUUGCCACUAGACAGGAAGCUCUUAGAGGCCCCGACCAGUGCUCGUUCACCCCAUCCCUCUGCCCCAAUGGACAGUUAGUGGCACAUAGUGGGUGUUAAUUACGCUUUCCGUUGAGUUAUUGUAGUAGUAGCUUUGUUCCUGAGAGCAUUGCAAACCGUAGAUCAGAGCUGGCUAUAGAAUCAGAGUCCUGGGUACAAAUCUCGGUGCCAGCACUUACCAGCUGAGUAACUUUCGGUAAAUCACUGAACCUGUCCAUCUACUUCUAUGUCCUCAUCUCUAAAGUGGAGUUGUUGUGAGGUUCUGUAAGACCGUGGAAGAAAAGUUCUUAACGAGGCACCUACUGUGGAGAAAACACACACUCAAGGUUGGCUGUCAUUGCUAUUAUUAUUUUGUCACUUUACCUCUGUGGCCUGAGUGUCCCACAGCUCUGUAACAGGCAGGAAGAGAGAAUGUCGUGGGUAGUUCACAAUCUAGACCAUGCUGUAGCCUCUGCUCCAGAGUAUUUUCUAGAGAAAUCGUUUUUCUGUCUGGAAUUCUGGUCCAGUCUCCAAAAAGAUGCCCCUGAAGUCUUCCUCAUUCCUCGCUAAGGAUUCCACAUUCAGUCCAGAGACAAAAAACCUUGAAAGUGGAGAUACCUUCCAAGGAAGCAGCCCACCUGUCUUUGCUUCUCCAUAGCAGGAAGCAUGAGGAUGCUCCAAGGGUAACCCAAAUAUGUCCUGAAAUCCAUGUGACUCCAGCUUCAGGACUGUAGCAUUCAAAAACCAGCCUGCCACGGACAGUAGGUCAAAAUUAAUUAUAAAUUUUUUCUUGCAUCUCUUGAAAAUCAUAAAAAUGAAUCCAAUAGAUAAGGAAGGUUUGUACUCUUAAAAUCUGCUUUAAUUGUUGUUGAGAUGCAAGGGUGACAACUCAUCACAUUUGUAGACCCCUCCAAGUUCGAAACCAAUCAGGAAAUAUAUUCAGGGGUCAGAAAGGCAGAGAUGAACAGAUUGAUAUUAACGCUGCUGACACUGCAUUAGAGAUGAUAGCUUGGAUCUCUAGGCAUUAUCAGGUUAUCUCAGACCUCCUGUCUUCCUACGGACUUGGGAAAGUCUGCAAAGCACUUACCUGCCAGCUGCAGGUAAGUGUUAAGAAGCGAUAAAGAGACAGGGAGAGCAGAGAUAGGUGGCCCAACUCAGUAAACGUCACCCAAAUGAGCAACCUCCACUGAAGGCUGCAAAGAUGACAGCUUCGAGCCACUCACCCAUCAGAUAGAUCCUCCUAUCACUCCCUGCCAGGAAGGAAGGGGAAGUAGGGGGUAGAAGCAUAAAGGGUAGGGGGUACUGGAAAUGUUUCUCUAGGUGCAGUCCCUUGGUGAAAUUGAGAGGACAGGAAAGUGGGGUCUGUGAGAUCUGCACCCAUUUUAUCACACCUGCUGCUGCUUGGCACCUGUCCUCCUGGAAGCCCCUCCUGCUCACCCCUCCAGCAGACCUGUUUGAGCCCCUGUCUUGGAUCUCCAGCCUUUUCCACCUGUCACUCCAUAGAUGUUCCCCCAAGAACCAGUCGGAGGAUAGAAUUGUGCUGAGAGUAACCAGCAGAGAUGGGGACAGCGUUCUCUCCAGCCAGGGUGUGUGUGUAUGUGUGUGUGUGUGUCACAAGGAGCAACCUGGAAACCCCAGACAAUGCUAUCUGAUAGAACUUUCUGUGAUGAUGGAAAUGUUCUAUAUCCAAACUGUCUAAUACAGUCACCACUAGCUACAUGGGGGUAUUGAGCCCUUGAACUGUGACAACUGAGGAAUGGAAUUUUUCAUUUUAUCUGAUUGUAAUUAAUUUAAAUUUAAAUAGCCACGUGUGUCUAGUGGCUAACAUAUUGGACAGCACAGACCUACAGCGUCAUGCACUCUAAAGAGAUAAACAUAAUGUGGGAACUGUGAGAAUUGAAUCUGAGAGCAUAGGUUACAGGGGAAGGCUUAUUGAAAAGGUCCCUAGAUUGUAAGCUCUUACAGCAGUCACCUCCAUUCAUGAGUUUUAACAGUUAUUUCUAAAUAGUGAGA
Long non-coding RNA from Choloepus didactylus (southern two-toed sloth), 4790 nucleotides. RefSeq lists it as uncharacterized. The record is from RefSeq and is a predicted model, not a curated record. Lineage: Eukaryota; Metazoa; Chordata; Mammalia; Pilosa; Megalonychidae. The transcript has 4 exons.